UCCACACGACUCUCUGAGCUUCGCCAUGCCGCCCAAAGACGACAAGAAGAAGAAAGAUGCCGGAAAGUCGGCCAAAAAGGACAAAGACCCAGUCAAUAAGUCUGGCGGCAAGGCUAAGAAGAAGUGGUCCAAAGGCAAAGUUCGGGACAAGUUGAACAAUCUUGUCCUGUUUGACAAAGCGACAUACGACAAGCUCUGUAAGGAAGUUCCCAACUAUAAGCUUAUUACUCCGGCUGUGGUCUCGGAGAGACUGAAGAUUCGCGGUUCCUUGGCCAGGGCAGCCCUGCAGGAGCUCCUCAGUAAAGGACUUAUCAAGCUGGUUUCAAAGCACAGAGCCCAAGUAAUUUACACCAGAAACACAAAGGGUGGAGACGCCCCAGCUGCUGGUGAAGAUGCAUGAACAGGUUCAAUCAGCUGUACAUUUGGGAAAAUAAAACUUUAUUGAAUCAAAAAAAAAAA
This is an RNA transcript of Mus pahari (shrew mouse), 459 nucleotides long. It is a transcript of the gene named 40S ribosomal protein S25 pseudogene, with no coding region annotated. The record is from RefSeq and is a predicted model, not a curated record. Lineage: Eukaryota; Metazoa; Chordata; Mammalia; Rodentia; Muridae. The transcript has a single exon.